This 2015-nucleotide long non-coding RNA is filed under the name Citrus x clementina. Its description in RNAcentral is "Citrus clementina (C. clementina) long non-coding RNA (CCLE_LNC004674)". The record is from RNAcentral. Lineage: Eukaryota; Viridiplantae; Streptophyta; Magnoliopsida; Sapindales; Rutaceae.
UAUUAAUUUUUUUAAUAAUUAUUAUCUUUUUUAAGGGUUUAUAAAUUUAUAGACGUAACAUACUGCUAAUGUAACGUAAGCUUUACCCAAUUUGUGAAGUAUCAGAAGUUCAAUCAAUGUACAACAGAGGCAGAAGCGCUGUGGUUUGAGAAAGCAAAUCGAAUCAAUAUAUUGUAGAUAUUAUGAUAUCAUUGUCUUUGUCCACAAGCGUGAUAGUUACAUUUCAUAAAUGGUGCUGUGACUUGUGAGAAUGAACUGAGGACUGGGGACUGGGGACUGAACCAAGAUAACGCCGAAGUAGAGGCGUGGGGCCAGUUUACCACUCAAUGACUUUUGCAUGACGGCCUGAAUCAAAAUAAACAAUUUAAUGGAGGAGAAUGGUGAUUUGACACCAUAAGCCGGUGGUAGGGUCACACCGUGGACCAACUCUGUUUUGGCAUCCUGAUAUACCGGAUUUUUCUCAGUGACAUGUGAGUUACGUUGUGGCAACCGGCAAAAGCCCUAAAUACGGAAGCACCGGGGCAUACAUAGCCAUUAUGACUCGCUCGAUUAAUUCACAGUUUCACUCGAUUGAGAUACCACCAAGCUAAAAACAAACCACCACAACCAAAAGCCUACGAUUUUAGGUUAAAUUCAUUACAAAUCAAUAAUAGAGUGACAAAGAACAGUUUCAUGUAGUAGAAAGGCAGCGGCGGGGAAGGUGAGGUUCAAUCAUGACCUGCAAUGUGUCUCCAACCCCAAGAUAAAGCGUCUGAAGUCUGAACUCACCUUUCGCGUUAAAUAAAACAAAUUAAAUAUUACAAUAAUUAAUUAAUGCAUUUGCAACCUCAAACAUAUGCGUGCUAGCUAGUUGUAAUUCAUCCUAAUUGUUGUAAGAUCUAUUUUUAGAAGUUAAUUAGACGACGUAACGUUUUCUAAGGGAUUGGAAAAGAAGACGUCAAUCGAGAUAUGAUUGUAUAGUAUAUGGGAGACACUGAUCAUUCAUACUCGGGUAGGAGCGGUGAAGGAUGCGAGCCUCUCCAUGCGCACGUUAUUGGCUGACAGCCUUUCUCGUAGAUGAACCAGUGAUCGCACUAGCACGCGUCCAUACAUGAUGAGAAUGGUGAUCAUGCAAAGUACAAUAAAUGGUUUACUUUCAUCUGUAUAGCCCUAAUUGGGAGAUAAAAUGCCAUGUUUAAAUUGUGUUGCUUGUCUCUCAAACACACUUCACUUAUUAGAAAAUAAAGUUACAGAUGAUUGGACAUAUUUUAAGACAUGUUUAGGAUUAAAGAUAACUUAAAAGUUAUAAAAUUAGUAUUUGGUAAAAAUUGUACUUUGUGAGUUAAGUUGAUUUGAUUUUAUAUUUGUAUAAUGAAAAAUUUAUUAUAUUUUUACUAAUUUUAUUAAAAUUAUUAUUUAAAAUUUAUAUGUACUAUAUAAUAUUAAUUUUUACUUCAUGAUUAUAGUUUUUUUUUCUCACAACAAUUGUAAUUUUAAAUAAAACCUAAAUCUCAAUCAAUUGUAGAGAUGAAAUGCCCAGUUAAUAAUUUUCACUUGAAAUUUAAUUUUAGGCCCGAUCAGUGGAGCUGCUUGACCGUCACAGCGCAGCUCCAAAACAUGAGUUUUCAACUCAUAUUCCAUAGCAAUUGCGUUAGGGGAAUGCAGCGUUGUGGCAGUCCCGACACACUAUUGGUUCGUCCUCAAGUGAUUGAAAAUUAAUGAAUUUCUAUUUCGCCUAACUUUUAUCAUGGGUGCUCAUAAGCUUGAACUUGAGGAUAUAACUAACAAUUAAUGUAAAAAUUAAAAUAACUAAGUUGAACAAGGAAAGGUAUAGUUUUGUCAUUCUUGAACACGACUGUUAAUGUCUCAUUUUGCAACUUGUAGCCCACUUUUCUAUAAGCCUUUUUUUCAAUUUCAACGCAAUAUCUAUUGGUUUUUGUGUGCAUUUUGCAGUUUGAAGAACUAAAUAUGUCCUGCCAGGGAUAGAAGAAAGUUCCGUUUGGUGACAAGUUAAUUUAAUUCACCGAUUGUAUAAU